UACGAAGGGUGCAAACGUUGCUCGGAAUUACUGGGCGUAAAGCGUGCGUAGGCGGUUCUGUAAGUUAGGUGUGAAAGCCCCGGGCUCAACCUGGGAAUUGCAUUUAAGACUGCAUAGCUAGGGUGCGGAAGAGGGAAGCGGAAUUUCCGGUGUAGCGGUGAAAUGCGUAGAUAUCGGAAGGAACAUCAGUGGCGAAAGCGGCUUCCUGGGCCAGCACCGACGUUCAGGCACGAAAGCGUGGGGAGCAAACACG
RNAcentral lists this ribosomal RNA (253 nucleotides) under uncultured bacterium. RNAcentral describes it as "partial 16S ribosomal RNA". It matches the Rfam family "Bacterial small subunit ribosomal RNA", at positions 524 to 776 of the family's 1533-position model. The record is from RNAcentral.